RNAcentral lists this ribosomal RNA (333 nucleotides) under uncultured bacterium. RNAcentral's name for it is "SSU rRNA". It matches the Rfam family "Bacterial small subunit ribosomal RNA", at positions 26 to 378 of the family's 1533-position model. The record is from RNAcentral.
AGGAUGAACGCUGGCGGCGUGCCUAAGACAUGCAAGUCGAGCGGUAAGGCCCUUCGGGGUACACGAGCGGCGAACGGCUGAGUAACGCGUGGGAAUCCACCCCAAAGUGAGGGAUAAGCACCGGAAACGGUGUCUAAUACCGCAUGUGGUCUUCGGAUUAAAGUUUUAUACGCUUUGGGAGGAGCCCGCGUCCGAUUAGGUUGUUGGUGAGGUAAUGGCUCACCAAGCUGACGAUCGGUAACUGGUCUGAGAGGAUGAUCAGUCAGACUGGAACUGAGACACGGUCCAGACUCCUACGGGAGGCAGCAGUCAGGAAUAUUCCACAAGUGGGGC